Molecule: ribosomal RNA, 235 nt
Filed under: uncultured bacterium
Lineage: Bacteria
Description: partial 16S ribosomal RNA
Rfam family: Bacterial small subunit ribosomal RNA
Source: RNAcentral
AAUCAACGCUGGCGGCGUGCCUCAGACAUGCAAGUCGGAACGCGAAAUUUCCCUUCGGGGAGAAGUAGAGUGGCGCACGGGUGAGUAACACGUAGGUAAUUUGCCUUCGGUGGGAGAAGUAACAGCCGGAAACGGCUGCUAAUACCGCAUAAUGCAGCGGCUCGACAUCGAGACAGUUGUUAAAGCGGGGGAUCGCAAGACCUCGCGCCUGAAGAGAAGCCUGCGGCAGAUUAGC